UCUGCUGCUAAUAUCAUCCCACCAAGCACUCACAUGCUUCCUGCUGGUUAUCAUGUAUUCCCUUCCCAUUUGACCCACCAAGUACUGAGUAAAUGGCAGGUGGCUCAGAUCAGCAAGGCUGAAGAAAUCACCGGCCAAGUACUUGUUCUUUGACAGCCUCUCCUCAUAAAUAUCCAGAACUUUGCCUAGCUUUUCCUCGCUUUCCUUGAUCAAAUUUUCAUCAGGAGGGAACCCCAUCUUGGAAGCAAACAUCAAAUGUAGGGUCAAGGCGUAAAUUGGUGGGUUGAAAUUGUGUGCCUCAACCUCUAGCCAAUUUUCCACUUGACCCCUUUCCUCUACUGUCUUUCCCAGUAGAUCAGUCCCUUGUGAUUUGUAUUUUUCUGCAUAGUAUCUUAUGAUUGCACGGGAUUCUGCAAAAACCCAAAUUGUAAAAAUCAUCAUUUGGUGCUGUUUAAUUAAUAUAAAUAUUAAAGUAAGAAAGAUUAGUUUUUAAGAAAGUGGUUUAGAAUGUCAUCUUUCUUUGCUAAAGAGUGAGCACUCAGAAAUUAAAGUCUUUCUAGGUGCAUUUAUCAAUCGUAUUCUAUAUAUUAGAAAAUAUGGAAUUCUCCGGGACCACUGCUGUCUUUGUUUUCUAGGAAAAGGACUAUGACUUGCAUUAUAAUAUGAAACACUGGAACCAGACAACCAGUCAUUCACUAUAGUAAGUAAAAUUGUAUUUUACCCUUUUCUUUUUACUAAAUAAUAGAUAAAUCAAUUUUUUUAAUAAAUUAAUUAUUUUAUAAAAAAAUUAUUUAUUUUUAUUGUUAAAAUUUAAUUUUUAUUUAUGGUGCACACUCAGCUUUCAACGAUUUAUUAGACUCAGAAUAAAUUUUUAGUGCCCCUUUUUUUUAAUCUUAUAUAUUCUCAAAGACCCUAAAAAAUUUGGGGGAGAAGAUAGCAUCUGAAUCUACAUGUAAGAAAAACAGGAGAUAACUUACCAUAUAAAACAUAAUCUCCAUCUUGAGUGACAGGAACUGUUCCAAAAGGCUGCAAAGAAGAGAUUGAGAUGAUUGAUUGUUUAACAUUAAUUUUCACUGAGAACUGGAAUUUCUUAACCAAAAAAAAAAGCGGGGGGGGGGGGGGGGGGAAGCUUAAGAAGGUGACCUGGAGCUUGAGAAAUUCAGGGUCUUUGUGCUCUCCUUUAAGCAAAUCAACAGGGACAGUCUCGAAUUCAAUCUCCUUUUCAAUAAGACAUGCAAUCACUCG
RNAcentral lists this long non-coding RNA (1245 nucleotides) under Gossypium barbadense (sea-island cotton). RNAcentral describes it as "long non-coding RNA (GBAR_LNC020700)". Lineage: Eukaryota; Viridiplantae; Streptophyta; Magnoliopsida; Malvales; Malvaceae. The record is from RNAcentral.